UGCGCAGGCGGGCUUGUAAGUCAGUGGUGAAAUACUGCCGCUUAACGGUAGAACUGCCAUUGAUACUGCGAGUCUUGAAUAUGGUUGAGGUAGGCGGAAUGUGUUGUGUAGCGGUGAAAUGCAUAGAUAUGACACAGAACGCCGAUUGCGACGGCAGCUUACUAAGCCAUUAUUGACGCUGAGGCACGAAAGCGUGGGGAGCGAACAGGAUUAGAUACCCUGGUAGUCC
This 229-nucleotide ribosomal RNA is filed under the name uncultured bacterium. RNAcentral's name for it is "partial 16S ribosomal RNA". It matches the Rfam family "Bacterial small subunit ribosomal RNA", at positions 568 to 796 of the family's 1533-position model. The record is from RNAcentral.